GAUGAAGAACGCAGCGAAAUGCGAUACUUGGUGUGAAUUGCAGAAUCCCGUGAACCAUCGAGUCUUUGAACGCAAGUUGCGCCUCAAGCCAUUAGGUUGAGGGCACGUCUGCCUGGGCGUCACAUAUCGUUGCCUGAUGCCAGUUUCCUCGUGAUGGGUGACUGUGCAGGGCGAAUGAUGGCUUCCCGUGAGCAUUGUUGCCUCAUGGUUGGUUGAAAAUUGAGUCCUUGGUAGGGAGCGCCGUGAUAGAUGGUGGUUGAGUGACGAACGAGACCCAAUCAUGUGAGACCCCUACCGAAUUUGGCCUUCAUGACCCACAUGCGUCUUUGGAACGCUCAUGACGAGACCUCAGGUCAGGCGGGGCUACCCGCUGAGUUUAAGCAUAACAAUAAGCGGAGGA
This 400-nucleotide unclassified non-coding RNA is filed under the name soil metagenome. RNAcentral describes it as "partial contains 5.8S ribosomal RNA, internal transcribed spacer 2, and large subunit ribosomal RNA". The stretch from base 1 to 122 matches the Rfam family "5.8S ribosomal RNA", at positions 35 to 154 of the family's 154-position model. The record is from RNAcentral.